Molecule: transfer RNA, 71 nt
Filed under: Polistes rothneyi
Lineage: Eukaryota; Metazoa; Arthropoda; Insecta; Hymenoptera; Vespidae
Description: tRNA-Ala
Source: RNAcentral
AGGAUAUUAGUUAAAUUUUUAAUAACAUUUAUUUUGCAAAUAAAAAUUAAUUUCUAUUAAAUUAUAUCUUU